RNAcentral lists this ribosomal RNA (253 nucleotides) under uncultured bacterium. Its description in RNAcentral is "partial 16S ribosomal RNA". It matches the Rfam family "Bacterial small subunit ribosomal RNA", at positions 524 to 776 of the family's 1533-position model. The record is from RNAcentral.
UACGUAGGGGGCAAGCGUUGUCCGGAAUCAUUGGGCGUAAAGCGCGUGUAGGCGGCUCGAUAAGUCUGCUGUGAAAGUCCAGGGCUCAACCCUGGGAUGCCGGUGGAUACUGUCGAGCUCGAGUCCGGAAGAGGAGUGUGGAAUUCCUGGUGUAGCGGUGAAAUGCGCAGAUAUCAGGAAGAACACCCGUGGCGAAGGCGGCUCUCUGGGACGGUACUGACGCUGAGACGCGAAAGCGUGGGGAGCGAACAGG